ACAAGAAACAAUUUCCCAUGUGUGAUUCUCUUGGAGAGCUUGAAGUUCCUCCUGCAUGGCUUUCUGCCAACACUCAUGCUUGGAAGCUUGUGAGUAACAUGAUGGAACAGAAAUAUCAGACAAAAUAGUAGAAAAACCAUACCAGUUAGGAGGACGAGAUACUCUGGUAGAUCGGCGAAGGAUAGGCUCGGGAGGAGCAAGCUCAGAAGAAAUCUUGGAGGUAGGCUCAGAAGCAGGUGCAGGU
Molecule: unclassified non-coding RNA, 244 nt
Filed under: Hevea brasiliensis (rubber tree)
Lineage: Eukaryota; Viridiplantae; Streptophyta; Magnoliopsida; Malpighiales; Euphorbiaceae
Source: RNAcentral